GGCUAGUGAGGCCCUGAAAGUGACAACAGAUAUUCCAAAUACUUCCUAUCUGAAUAAAUAUUUAACCAAGGCUCUGAGGAGGCGCCCUCGAAUCCUCCCUCCCUAUCCCACUCAAUAUUCCACCAAGGCUCUGAGAAGGUGUUCACCAGUCCUCCCUCCCUGUCCUACUCAAUAUGCCACCAAGGCUCUGAGAAGGCGUUCACCAAUCCUCUCUCCCUAUCCCACUCAAUAUUCCACCAAGGCUCUGAGAAGGUGUUCACCAAUCCUCCCUCCCUAUCCUACCCAAUAUUCCACCAAGGCUCUGAGAAGGCGUUCACCAAUCCUCCCUCCCUAUCCUACCCAAUAUGCCACCAAGGCUCUGAGAAGGCAUUCACCAAUCCUCCCUCCCUAUCCUACCCAAUAUUCCACCAAGGCUCUGAGAAGGCGUUCACCAAUCCUCCCUCCCUAUCCUACUCAAUAUUCCACACCAAGGCUCUGAGAAGGCGUUCACCAAUCCUCCCUCCCUAUCCCACUCAAUAUUCCACACCAAGGCUCUGAGAAGGCAUUCACCAAUCCUCCCUCCCUAUCCUACUCAAUAUUCCACACCAAGGCUCUGAGAAGGCAUUCACCAAUCCUCCCUCCCUAUCCCACUCAAUAUUCCACAUCAAGGCUCUGAGAAGGCGUUCACCAAUCCUCCCUCCCUAUCCCACUCAAUAUUCCACACCAAGGCUCUGAGAAGGUGUUCACCAGUCCUCCCUCCCUAUCCUACUCAAUAUUCCACCAAGGCUCUGAGAAGGCGUUCACCAGUCCUCCCUCCCUAUCCUACUCAAUAUUCCACCAAGGCUCUGAGAAGGCGUUCACCAGUCCUCCCUCCCUAUCCCACUCAAUAUGCCACCAAGGCUCUGAGAAGGCGUUCACCAAUCCUCCCUCCCUAUCCUACCCAAUAUUCCACCAAGGCUCUGAGAAGGCGUUCACCAAUCCUCCCUCCCUAUCCUACCCAAUAUUCCACCAAGGCUCUGAGAAGGCGUUCACCAAUCCUCCCUCCCUAUCCUACCCAAUAUGCCACCAAGGCUCUGAGAAGGCGUUCACCAGCCACCAAGGCUCUGAGAAGGCGUUCACCAAUCCUCCCUCCCUAUCCCACUCAAUAUGCCACCAAGGCUCUGAGGAGGUGUUCACCAGUCCUCCCUCCCUAUCCCACUCAAUAUGCCACCAAGGCUCUGAGAAGGCGUUCACCAAUCCUCCCUCCCUAUCCCACUCAAUAUGCCACCAAGGCUCUGAGAAGGCAUUCACCAAUCCUCCCUCCCUAUCCCACUCAAUAUGCCACCAAGGCUCUGAGAAGGCAUUCACCAAUCCUCCCUCCCUAUCCCACUCAAUAUGCCACCAAGGCUCUGAGAAGGCGCCACCAAUCCUCCCUCCCUAUCCCACUCCAACUUCACCAAGGCUCUGAGAAUGCGCCCAUAAAUGCUCCCGAGUGAAUGGGAGACAAGGAUGCAGGAGGACACAGCCUCACACAGAAGCUCUCCUGGUCCUUGGGCCUCCUGCUCCACCAACAGACUCAGCACAGCAGAAUCAGAGGACACCUGGACCCCUGUGUGGGGGGUACUGCCAGGUUGGGCCGCAAGGCAGGCAGAGCUCCAAACCCCAGGGACUCCCCGAGCAGAACCCAGUUUAAUCGUGCAGCCGACUAUUCAGAGAAGACCCCGGCUGGCUCUUCUGACAGUCUUGGUCAGUCCUGCCUCUGUCCCCCUGGGUCCUGCCUCUGUUCCCUAGCUGGUCAGGCCCAUUCCCACCCCACGUCCCUCCAGCCUGGGCCCAGGCCUCCACCUUCCACCUGUGUACGACGCACACACUGCCCACUGCAGCAGCGAGGGAGGCACAGCCGUUACAGCAAACAGGAAGUUGCAACAGCUCUGAAAAACCGUAACGGUGAUGGAGAAAAU
This 1919-nucleotide long non-coding RNA is filed under the name Homo sapiens (human). RNAcentral's name for it is "non-protein coding lnc-STK32C-7:3". The record is from RNAcentral. Lineage: Eukaryota; Metazoa; Chordata; Mammalia; Primates; Hominidae.